UUGCUAAGUUUUUGACCUUGUAAAAAUAAAUCUUUGAAUUACAAAUAUGAUCCUGCCGAGCUCUUGUCUGCACUUUGGUCCGAUCCAAAACCACACCGUGACAGUCAGUCCAUCAAUGUUUGUUAAAUACCAGAAAUGGGAGGAACAAAUCGAUGACUUACUUGGGGAAAUGUGGGCCCCACUGUGGACUUUAGUGCUGUUUUGAGAGAGAACUAAAAACUUUUAAUAAUACUAAGAACACACAUUCAUAGCUUUGUGGAUUUGCCGGAAAAAAAGAAGAAUUCAGUAUUUAUACACAAGUUUCACUAAAUGUAAUAGAUCAGAUCAGAUACAAUGAUUAGUACAGUGAUUGCUUCAUUUGUGACUUCAGUUUUAUAACUUCGUCAUCUUUCCUUAACACCACCUUUAUUUGGACAAUACAAGCUGAGGAGGCCAUGCUCAUCAAGAUAAGAGGAACUAUGGGACAAUCUGUCAUUGCCUGAUUGUCAUCCACAGCUCUCCAUUUAAGAUUAAUGCAUUCAGGAAACUUACUUCAUGUUUCUGCUGUUUCCUUGUAUUCAUUCUCCUCGUCUUCCUCUUAUCAGGGAACAAUUUGCGGGGGCUGCAGUCUCAGCAGAGACACCCAGACUACUCUCUCCCCAGACACCUCCUCCAGUUCCUCUGGGGGCAGCCAGAGGGGUUUCCAGGUCAGUCGAGAGACAUAGUGCCUGCAGCCUGUCCUUGGCCGUCCCCUGGGCCUCCUCCUGUUGGGAUGUGGCAGGAACACCACCCGAGGUGGGAGGUCGUUCUUCACAAUCACAGCCCAGGUGCUGCUGUCAUUUGUCACAUGGGCAUUGAAGACCCCAAGUAGAAUGACAGAGACCAAGAAGGCAGAGUACUCCACACCGCUGCUCAGCCCAUAGGUCGAAACAACAGUCAGAGACCUUCCCUGACCUUAAGGCACAGGGAUGAGACCCUCUCAUCCACCAAGGUAAACCUCAAAACGAGGCGACUAAGCUGGGGGGAAGACAAGAAACCCACCCUACCCCACCACCUCUCCCCACAGGCCACUCCAGAGUAAGAGAGUCCAACCUCUCUCAAGGAGCUGGUUUCCAGACCCCACAGUUCGUGGAGGUGAGCCCAAUUUCAACCUCCAUCCGAUCCGCUCUCCUGCACGAUCCUCUUUGCCUCAUGGUUCCCCCUGCAGGUGGAUGACCACUGAGGGAUGGCCUCGUGUCCUUUGUUUGGGCCUGGCCCGCCUGGGUCCAGCAAUGAGCCUCCCUGCCACCAGGCUGUACCGAGUGUUGUCACUUGCCUCAAUUUACUGGUCCACAUGAAGACUCCUAAACCGCUUCUUGUCUUACCCGUCACCUAGAGCCUGUUUGCCAGGGGAGACCCUACCAGGGGCGUUUAAGCCAUGGGCAACAUACCCUCUGAGAUCAAUCGAGCACUCAAACCUCUCCACCACGUUAAGACGGCAGUUCUCCUGUUUCCAAAGAACCAAAAGAGCCUUGAGGAUCUUGAAUCUUGUUCUCCUCUGUCUGCUGUUUAUAUCAGCCACAUCCUCAAUGAAAACCAGUGAAUCGUCCUUCAAUAAUUCUUUAAAAUGAUUGAAAGGAACAUUUAAUUUAACUAGGUACUACUUUUAAAAUCAUAUUAGAAGUCUCAUGGAGAAGGAGAAAAAGAAGAAUCUCUGCACUAUAUUAAAGCAGAUUCUUACAGAGAAAACGUACACAUAAAGAAACAAAAUUAUGUAAAGCUAUAAAUAAUAAAAGCUAAAACGGUUGAGAUGACAUGUUAGCAAGCAUGGUGGUGGAAGCAUGAUGACGACCUGGAAUCUUACAGUCAUUUAUUGGACCAUGAACUCCUCCGUAUAUCAAAGUAUUCCAGCGUUCAAUGGAGUUCCUUCUGUUCAGCUGCUGAAACUUGGUUCAAACUGGAUCAUCAACAGGACGAAUAACCCAAACACAUCAGCUAAUCUACAACAGAAUAAAGGUGUUGCAUGUCCCAGUUAAAGUUCAAACUUCCACCUGAUUAAACUGCUGUGGUAGGACCUUCAGAGAGCUGUGCAAUGAACCGAAGCAAUAAUGGAAAGAACAUUGAACCAAAUCUUAUGACAUUGUUUUUGAAAUCCAGCCUGCAGAAUGAAAACCAUAAAAAUAGCAAAGGAUGUAUUUUCGUGCUACCGUCACUGCGUAUCCUGGGGCGAAGGUGGUGACAGUGAUAAUAUGUUCGUUCUGUAACUUGUGGGUAACACAACCUGUGGGUUGCUGGUUCAAACCCCUGCUCUACCUGUCUUGGUCAUUGUGUCCAAGAGCUAGAAAUUCCACCCUCCUUGCCUGGUGAUGGUGGUCAGAUGGCCCAGUGGUGCCAACUGUAUGGCAAGCUCACCACUGUCAGUGGCGGGGUUCCGGGAGUUUCUUUCUGUUUUACCUGCUACUAACCCCAUCCAACCUCUAGAUGACACCAGAUGCACGGUAGGAACGGAGUCCACAGGUGUUCUCCAUCAGCCUCAUCAGGAGAGGAGCUUAACUACCCAACGAUGCCAACACUCCGGCGCCUGAGUGUUAACCUGCAGUGGUUACCUCCAGUUCCGAGCUUCUUAUCCAGUCUGCGUAUGCAGAAGAUCCAGACUCUCUCUCCGCAAGAGAACUUCCCGGAUUAUCUUCUCAGUUGGCUGCAUUCGGGUUUCAAGUCUCCUCAGGCUUCCUGUGAAUGAACCUGGCUCACCCUCCACCGUGCUCCCCUCCAAGAUCAUGCACCUGGUGCCACCUCCACCUCAAGUCCAAGUAAAACAGUAUUACCUGGACCUUUCACUUACCCGACAUGCUCCCGGAGUUUUCCAUCAUCUCACUUCUCCUCCCCCCUGGCGGAUCUCCUAAUCACUUCCUCGGUGAGUUCCUGUUUCUCCAGCAAACAAAAUAUUUCUUAAUAAACUUGUUAAAAC
Girardinichthys multiradiatus is the source of this 2926-nucleotide long non-coding RNA. RefSeq lists it as uncharacterized. The transcript is spliced from 3 exons. The record is from RefSeq and is a predicted model, not a curated record. NCBI's taxonomy places the organism in Eukaryota, Metazoa, Chordata, Actinopteri, Cyprinodontiformes, Goodeidae.